This 433-nucleotide ribosomal RNA is filed under the name uncultured bacterium. RNAcentral's name for it is "partial 16S ribosomal RNA". It matches the Rfam family "Bacterial small subunit ribosomal RNA", at positions 29 to 507 of the family's 1533-position model. The record is from RNAcentral.
AACGAACGCUGGCGGCAUGCCUAACACAUGCAAGUCGAACGAGACCUUCGGGUCUAGUGACGCACGGGUGCGUAACGCGUGGGAACCUGCCCUUAGGUUCGGAAUAACUCCCCGAAAGGGGUGCUAAUACCGGAUAAUGUCUUCGGACCAAAGAUUUAUCGCCUUUGGAUGGGCCCGCGUUGGAUUAGCUAGUUGGUAGGGUAAAAGCCUACCAAGGCGACGAUCCAUAGCUGGUCUGAGAGGAUGAUCAGCCACACUGGGACUGAGACACGGCCCAGACUCCUACGGGAGGCAGCAGUGGGGAAUAUUGGACAAUGGGCGGAAGCCUGAUCCAGCAAUGCCGCGUGAGUGAUGAAGGCCUUAGGGUUGUAAAGCUCUUUUAACCGGGAUGAUAAUGACAGUACCGGGAGAAUAAGCUCCGGCUAACUCCGUG